Molecule: RNA transcript, 2374 nt
Organism: Carassius auratus (goldfish)
Lineage: Eukaryota; Metazoa; Chordata; Actinopteri; Cypriniformes; Cyprinidae
Exons: 4
Source: RefSeq, a predicted model, not a curated record
UUGUUGUUUGUCGCUCUUUAGACGGGCUCCCUGAAUUUGCAGAGAUUAUUCAGAUGUGUAUAGUGCAGAAGGGACUGUGUUUUGUACUUAAAGGUCUGUGUGGUUGGUAUAGGGAGCAUUUUAGGGCCUUUGAACUGACCUCUUCUCCAUCAAGGGAGAUUUUCUUUCUUGAACUAAGUGAAUUAGCUGAUGGAUAUCCAUUGGCUGACUACAAGGUAGGAGGUCUUCGUUUGGUGUCACUGAAAAGACAAAUUCAUUCAUAACAGGUGCCAUUUAAAUAUUUCUUGUUUAACUGUAUGAAUGAAGCUUAUGUACCUACAGUGCAAACAAUACAGUUCUUUUUUUUUUCUCAUCAACAGGAUUGUAAAAAUGACCUCCACCAUCAUCCUGCGUGUAAUUCUGGGAGAGAACAGUGCACAGAAAGUGACACUUCAGAAUGGAGUCCUUUGUUCUUUGGCAGAGUUAAUGAAUGAGAUACAGACACAGUGUAAUUUAAUGGGAGAAUUCAGACUUCAAAUCAUGGACCCUGACUUACAAGAUUUUGUGAACCUGACUUCCACAACUGAUGUUCAGAACAAAAGCACCCUUAAGGUCAUCAAACUCUGUGACUCUUUAGCAGUAUCUCCAUCUCCCUCAUCAUGUGACACAGACAUUCUGUCUUCAAGAUCAUCCUCUGAAGUAUCACAUUCUUCAUCCCUUGACCCCCAAGAGUUGACUUUGAAUACAAGGUCUUCUUGGCCAACCUGUUUUGUUGUGCCCCGUUUCUCCUAUGAUGCAGAAAUUAAGCUGGAACAAGGCAAUUCAGAAUACCAAAAAAAUGGCAUUCUGCUGAAUCCAGACCCAAAGCUGAAAUCAGACAUUUUGUAUGGACUUGCUGAAGAAAUAGUAAAAUUCAAAGUGUACCUUUCUGAUGCUGAAUUCAGUGAAGUGGCUGAAGCUCUUAUAAAACGGCAUCCUUGCCUUAAGGAACAAGGAUCCUUAACAGGCUGCAGUGGCUGGAAAAGAAGCCUUAAAUAUAAAAUGUCAAAUUACAGAACCAAGCUGCGAAAUCUUGGUUGUAGUGAAGUGACUGCAAAUGCCAUGAAGCACAAACCUAUGGGUGUAAGCAAUCCAGCUUUUGGGGUCAAGAAGCCACGCAAGGCUGAAGUUAACUUUUGUCCCUCAUUUCUUCCUGGUGAAACUCCUGACAGCAUGGAGCAAAUAAGAGUCUCCCUUCUUUCUGAGGUUAAGAAGAACAACGAGCAAACUCUGGACCUAUGGACCUAUCAUUUGCAUUGAGAAGACAAGAGGUUGUCAAAGAAUCUCCACUUAUUGUUGACUUUAUGGGCAGAUGGCCAGCUUUGUUCCAAGAAAAUGAGGUUUGUGCUGAAUUUGCACGGGUAACAACUGUCGCCUUAAUUUCAAAAUUCUUCUCAAAGCUGGAUGAACACACUCCAAGUCUUCUGAGGAUAUUUGCCAAGAGAGGUGGAGCUCAGGGACGAAGGAUAAGAAAACUUCUUGUGCCACUUACAAAGUGUGCCUGCAUUAAUGUUAAGAGGGAGUGUGUCCUCAAAGCCCUGUUUGUCUACCUAAAUGAGGAUCCUGACAAUCUCAUCAAGGAGUACAUGGAUGUCGACUUUUCCAACGCUGAAACUGCAUUCAAAGAGAUGGUGAUGGGCGUUUUUGUCAUCAGAUGUGAUGGAGGUGAAGGAUGUGAAGGAUGUGAAGAUGAACCUGCGGACGUUGGAGUAGUUCUUGAAGGAGUUACAGCACUAGAAGGGCUUGGUAAUGUAACUAAUGGUGUUGCAUUGCUGAUUGGGCUAAUAUAUGCCCUAAAUCUAAGUUAUCCGAAGGAGCUUCGAUACACCUUUGAACUCCUGCAAAAAGUGUUCCUGGAGCUUGAUGGACACAAACUCUCCACCAAAGUUCAAGCGCUCAAGACCAAGCUUUUUACACCCUGAAUCUAUAACUAAUUGUUUUUGUGUCAAAUACUCAAAGCAAGUUCAUGUUUCAUGUUCACACAUUUUAAUGCCUUUAUUGAGUUUUGCCUUUUUUUAUGUUUUUGUACAUAAGGGCAUAUGUAAAGAGGAAUAGUUUCCUAAAAAUUCAAAAUUUUCCUAAAAAAAAGUCAGAAGGUCAAGGAAAACCAUCAGGGGUUUAGGGGUUUCAACGACACAGGGGUUAGUUAAUGUUGACAAUUUAAUUUUUUUUUUUUUCUUUUAAACAAUUUUUGUUUAACUGAUGGUUUUAAUGGCUUCUGAGUGUUCUUGAAGGAAAGACGUUUUAAUGAAAAUGUAUUUUAAAUAGUUUUCAAAGAUGUUCUACAUAGCACAUGUAUUUGUUUGUCCUUCACAAAAAUUAUGCAGGCACAUUUUGGAAUUAGAAUAGAAUUACA